UACGAAGGUGGCAAGCGUUGUCCGGAUUUACUGGGCGUAAAGAGCGCGCAGGCGGUCGGUCAAGUCGCGUGUGAAAGCCCCCGGCUCAACUGGGGAGGGUCACGCGAUACUGAUCGACUCGAAGGCAGGAGAGGGCAGCGGAAUUCCCGGUGUAGAGGUGAAAUUCGUAGAUAUCGGGAGGAACACCAGUGGCGAAGGCGGCUGCCUGGCCAAAUACUGACGCUAAAGCGCGAAAGCGUGGGGAGCAAACAGG
This 253-nucleotide ribosomal RNA is filed under the name uncultured bacterium. RNAcentral describes it as "partial 16S ribosomal RNA". It matches the Rfam family "Bacterial small subunit ribosomal RNA", at positions 524 to 776 of the family's 1533-position model. The record is from RNAcentral.